RNA transcript from Glycine soja, 4576 nucleotides. It is a transcript of the gene named DExH-box ATP-dependent RNA helicase DExH3-like, with no coding region annotated. The transcript is spliced from 19 exons. NCBI's taxonomy places the organism in Eukaryota, Viridiplantae, Streptophyta, Magnoliopsida, Fabales, Fabaceae. The record is from RefSeq and is a predicted model, not a curated record.
AGAUAAGAAAUAAACAGCGCGGGGGUUAGGGAUGCAAAAGUGCGUCUCUCAAGGCUGAACUGAAGCUUUGUUUCAGUCUGAGGCUCAGCAGUCAUCAGCAUGCCUAUGACCUAUUCCGGCAUAUUUCAGGGCUUCAUCAGAUUCAAAGCCACGUCGCGGCUUCGUUCCGCUCCUCUCAGACAUUCUCUUCCCUCCAUUUCAUCCGCUCCUUUUCACCGCACCGCCAUUCGCCUCCGCCACCACUCCUGCUCCGCCGCGCUUCAAGUCGUCAAGAACACGCGCCAGAGGACCUUCAAGUUUCCGUUUUGGCACCAACGCAGCUCCACCUAUGGUCGUUUCGCCUACCAGGACGUCUCCAGUGACGAAUCCGAUGUCGAAUUCGCGUCUUCUCCCUCUCACAACCAACAACUGGGUGAUUCAACUCACGAGAACAUUGACGAUUGGAGAUGGAAGCUCACCAUGCUUAUGCGCAACAAAGACGAACAAGAAGCGGUGUCCAGGGAGAAGAAGGACCGUCGCGAUUUCGAGCAACUUUCCACUUUAGCUACCAGGAUGGGUUUGUAUAGCCGGCAGUAUGCAAGAGUUGUUGUGUUUAGCAAGGCGCCUUUGCCAAACUACCGCCCUGAUUUGGAUGAUAAGCGUCCACAAAGAGAGGUAGUCUUACCACUUGGUGUUCAUAAAGAAGUAGACGCUCAUCUCCUUGCCCAUCUUUCACAAAAGGCUAGAAACAAGUGGGAUUUUAUGGAAGAUUCCUUGCAUAACUCAAGUGAUUCUAGAAGCAUUCCAGCCAAUGAAAGAAUGUAUGAACAGCCAGAGCCCGUGACCCAUAAUAGUGUUGUCAAGGAGAAAAUCCUUCAACGAAAAAGUUUGCAACUGCAUCAUCAGCAACAGGAUUGGCAGGAGUCUCCUGAAGGGCAAAAGAUGCUUGAAUUUCGUAGAAGUCUUCCUGCUUUCAAAGAGAAGGAUGCAUUUCUGAGAGUUAUUUCACAGAGUCAGGUCGUCGUUGUCUCAGGUGAAACUGGUUGUGGUAAGACCACAGAACUUCCUCAAUACAUAUUAGAAUCUGAGAUUGAAGCUGCACGUGGAGCUGUAUGUAACAUAAUCUGUACUCAGCCUAGAAGAAUAUCUGCUAUGUCUGUUUCUGAAAGAGUUGCAGCAGAGCGUGGGGAGAAAUUGGGAGAAUCUGUUGGAUACAAAGUUCGCCUGGAGGGUAUGAAAGGGAGAGAUACUCGUCUUCUUUUUUGCACCACAGGUGUAUUAUUGCGGAGAUUGCUUGUGGAUAGGAAUUUAAAAGGUGUAACUCAUGUUAUUGUUGAUGAAAUUCAUGAACGUGGAAUGAAUGAAGAUUUUCUUCUCAUUGUCUUGAAGGAACUUCUCCAUCAUCGUCCUGAUUUGAGGUUGAUUUUGAUGAGUGCAACCUUAAAUGCUGAGCUAUUUUCUUCAUACUUUAAUGGUGCUCCAACUAUGCAUAUUCCUGGUUUUACAUUUCCAGUUCGAGCACAUUUUCUUGAGGACAUUCUGGAAAGGACUGGAUAUCGAUUGACACCGUAUAAUCAAAUUGAUGACUAUGGUCAAGAAAAAACAUGGAAAAUGCAGAAGCAAGCUCAAGCUUUCAGAAAAAGAAAGAGCCACAUUGCUUCUGCUGUUGAGGAUGCUUUAGAAGUUGCAGAAUUUAAGGGGUAUAGCCUACGCACUCAAGAUUCAUUGUCCUGCUGGUACCCUGACUCAAUUGGUUUUAACCUUAUUGAACAUGUGCUUUGCCAUAUUGUUAAGAAUGAAAGGUCAGGUGCUGUUUUGGUUUUUAUGACUGGUUGGGAUGAUAUAACCUCUUUGAAGGAUCAACUUCAAGCUCAUCCUUUGUUGGGUGAUCAGAGCCGAGUAUUGCUUCUUGCAUGCCACGGCUCCAUGGCCAGCUCUGAGCAGAGGUUGAUAUUUGAAAAUCCUGAAGGAGGGGUGAGGAAAAUUGUUCUUGCAACUAACAUGGCUGAGACUAGUAUUACCAUCAAUGAUGUUGUCUUUGUGGUUGACAUUGGAAAAGCAAAAGAAACAUCAUAUGAUGCAUUAAAUAACACUCCUUGUUUGCUUCCAUCUUGGAUAUCAAAAGCUGCUGCUCGGCAGAGAAGAGGAAGGGCUGGUCGUGUUCAACCUGGUGAAUGCUACCAUCUUUAUCCCAGAUGUGUUUAUGAUGCUUUUGCUGAUUAUCAAUUGCCAGAGCUUUUGAGAACACCUUUGCAGUCCUUAUGUCUGCAAAUCAAAACUCUACAACUUGGAAGCAUCUCUGAGUUUUUAUCUAGAGCUCUACAGCCACCAGAGCCUCUAUCGGUUCAAAAUGCUAUUGAAUAUUUGAAGAUUAUUGGGGCCUUAGAUGAGAAUGAAAAUUUAACAGUUUUAGGGCACAAAUUGGCAAUGCUUCCUGUGGAGCCCAAACUUGGCAAGAUGCUCAUUUUGGGAGCUAUCUUCAAGUGUUUGGAUCCCAUAAUGACUAUUGUUGCUGGUCUUAGUGUAAGAGAUCCAUUUGUAAUGCCGUCUGACAAGAAGGAUCUUGCAGAGUCUGCCAAAGCCCAAUUUGCUGCUCGUGACUAUAGUGAUCAUCUUGCACUCAUCCGGGCUUAUGAUGGUUGGAGAGAUGCUGAAGCGCAGCAAGCUGGUUACGAGUACUGUUGGCGAAAUUUUCUUUCUUCUCAAACACUUAGGGCCAUUGACUCUCUUCGAAAGCAAUUCUUUUAUUUGCUCAAAGAUAUUUGUCUGGUUAAUAACAAUUCUGAAACCUACAAUACAUGGAGUCAUGAAGAGCAUCUACUCCGAGCAGUCAUCUGUGCGGGUUUGUUUCCCGGAAUAUCCUCUGUUGUGAACAAAGAUAAGUCAAUAGCACUGAAAACAAUGGAGGAUGGUCAGGUUCUUUUGUAUUCUAGCUCUGUAAAUGGUUGUGUACCCGAAUUCCAUUCCCAUGGUUAGUGUUUAAUGAAAAGGUGAAAGUGAAUUCAGUAUUCCUUAGGGAUUCAACUGGUAUAUCUGAUUCAGUGCUUCUCUUAUUUGGUGGGAAUGUAUCCAGAGGUGGACUAGAUGGUCACCUGAAAAUGUUGGGAGGGUAUUUGGAGUUUUUCAUGAAACCAGAAUUAGCCAAGACUUACUUGAGCUUAAAGAUGGGACUGGAAGAACUGAUACAGAAAAAACUUUUGGAUCCCAUGUUGGAAACACAAUCGCAUAGUGAACUUCUUUCAGCUGUUAGAUUGUUGGUAUCAGAGGACCAUUGUGAUGGGAGAUUUGUCUUUGGUCGCCAGGUCCUACCACAAUCAAAGAAGGAAACAAACUCCAAAACUGGUGGUGUAGCUGAGGAGAAAAAUUAUAAAAAUCACCUUCAAGCAUUCCUUAACAGGGCUGGACAUGAUUCACCAACUUACAAAACAAAGGAGCUGAAAAACAACCAAUUUCGUUCUACUGUCAUAUUCAAUGGGUUGAAUUUUGUUGGUCAGCCAUGCAGCAGCAAAAAGUUAGCAGAAAAAUCUGCUGCUGCUGAGGCUCUUCUAUGGUUAAAAGGGGAUAGCCAUUCGUCUGAUGAUAUUGACCAUGCAUCAGUGCUUUUGAAAAAGAGCAACAAGAAAAGUAGGAAAAAUUCGUUUAGCAGUGCUAAAUGGAGUUGAGCUGCCUUUAAAAGCUUACCUUGGAUAGAUUUGUUAAUAGCAUUGUAUACUAAGAAAAACUUGUCCAGUUGAAGGCUAUGGUGCAAUUGAUUCAAGGAUCUUUUCUGUCAUUAUUUCAACAGCGAGUGUACAGAGCUAUUGAGGGAAUAUAUGACAGGUACAGAUCAGAGCCCGUGUUUUUGUAAAGAGUGAUUGCAUCCAGUUUAUCUAGAUUUGGGGCACAAUUCAAUACGAGUAUUUCCACAAUUGCUUUGGGCUAAUUUGGCCCAGAGCAGAGAGAUUGGCUGGCUGAGCAGCUUCGUACUUGCAAAUGAAUUCUUACAAUAGAGGUAUAAACAGAGCAAAGAAUUGUAUCCAUAUGCUGAUGAUGCUUUCUUUUUGCACUGCUCUUGCGGUAGAUAUACUUUUCAAGAGGAUUCACCUGCAACAAUUCAUUGGGGGACAACACAAUAUCCAUAUGUAAGACCGGGUAUUUUAUGGAAGAGAAUAGGGAUAUCUGCGUGAUGUGGUAGUUGCUCAGGGAACGCAUUUAAGUUAAUCAAGCCUGCUGACAUAGAAUAUAUGUAUUUAAGAUCAAUUUUACUCUCAAAAGCCUAUUACGAGGCUUGUUAGUUGUUACAGCUGGGGUGGAUUUUUAUUUUUUUUUGGUACUAAUGUUGUAAACUGGGGAGGUAAUGUAAUCCAAUAAAUUUCAGUCUGAGUAGAAAAUCAUUAGAAUUGAUUUAUAGUUGUAUACUUUUUAGAACCUACAAUCGUCUUGAGCGAUAACUAUUAGAUACGAUGGCGAUGGGAUUUCCUUAUGACAGUGCAUCAGUUCAUCGUCUGAUCAGAAUAAGAAAGGAGUAGGAAGAGAGAAAGUGUAAAGAGUGGGAGAGGAGAGAUCAGACGAAGUCUCUUUCAACCCAAUACAAAGUAGUAACCCUUAGCCACCAAAA